UCUCUAAGUCGUUGUUCACCACGUAUUGUUUUUAAGACUUUUUCACAUUGUUGUCAAUCGUGCACUGCUUCAUCGCGCGGCAAGUCCGAUUGCGCGCGCACGAUCUUGCGUCAUCUUUGCAUUUCUCUAAGUCGUUGUUCACCACGUAUUGUUUUUAAGACUUUUUCACAUUGUUGUCAAUCGUGCACUGCUUCAUCGCGCGGCAAGUCCGAUUGCGCGCGCACGAUCUUGCGUCAUCUUUGCAUUUCUCUAAGUCGUUGUUCACCACGUAUUGUUUUCAAGACUUUUUCACAUUGUUGUCAAUCUUCAAAAGGGAUGAACAUUAAACGCUCAUCCUCAUGAACAACGAGGGAAGGUCAUGAAAACAGAACAUUGUUAAUUUGCCUUAAUAAACCGCUCUUCCUGUAGUUUUUUUUUUUUACGAAACAUUUAUUUACCGUCAAUAGUGUUGUUCCCAAGUCUGAUAUUUUCCAGCGUGACGAAUUGCUUUCCCGGAUGACGUUGGGUGCAUGCAUGCGCGCUCACGAGCAAUUGCGCACACUAGAAGCUUCGAAAUUUUUUUGUCAGGUGGUGGAGUCGAUGCAAGUCGAGUUUAUGAACAUGAAGGAAGCUCGUGAAAACCCUACGGAAGAUAUGCAAGCUGCAUACAACAUCCAGACGAAAAAGAUGGAUCCAAUGGCAUCAUAUAGCAUUGGUAAUGCAAGAGUUCUAAAUAGUAAUUUUGCGAGUGUUAUAAGGCAGACAUCAAAGGUCUUUCUUCUAUUAACAAAGAAAUAAAGAAUCAUUUCAUCAAACUUAUUUAUCAUCAAUAUGGAUAGGCUGAAAUCCUGGUAUGCAUAUGUGGCUUUGGUGGUUAUUACUUUAAACUGUUGUUUUAAUCCAAAAAACAAUUAGCUAUAAGUUUAUAAAAGGUAUUUGCUAUUGCAGUGAAUUGAAUCACUUUUCUCUCUUCAGCCAUCUGCAACAGGCAAUCUUUUUUUAAUAAUUUUAUUAUCAAUAAUUAAGUAUAAUUCUUAAGUCAGAUGUAAACUGAAACAAAGUUCCUUUGAUGUAUUUUGAAA
Long non-coding RNA from Xenia sp. Carnegie-2017, 1061 nucleotides. RefSeq lists it as uncharacterized. The transcript is spliced from 2 exons. The record is from RefSeq and is a predicted model, not a curated record. NCBI's taxonomy places the organism in Eukaryota, Metazoa, Cnidaria, Anthozoa, Malacalcyonacea, Xeniidae.